Molecule: long non-coding RNA, 309 nt
Filed under: Setaria italica (foxtail millet)
Lineage: Eukaryota; Viridiplantae; Streptophyta; Magnoliopsida; Poales; Poaceae
Description: long non-coding RNA (SITA_LNC006565)
Source: RNAcentral
CGGCGGACACUACAGGAAGCCACGCCGGGAGUUCCUCUGGAACUACGGGGCAGCUGACUCCCUCGGAGAACGGCGCAGCGGCCAGGGCCACGACGACCGCACAGGACGGGACUACCGACCACGACACGACAGAGACGACUACGAUGACAACUUCCAGCGUGGCGUGCGUCGCCACCGCAGCAACUCCGCCUGGGGGAGAAUGACGCGCUGUCGGGGGACAGUGGACGACUGCUAUAGCUCCAACCGCUACCGCGACAGCAACCACGACUACACCGGCCACCGUAGCAGGGUUGGGCCACCGGACAGCAG